UUUUAGGAGGACUACCAAGGGGCUAGUGACUGGUUGGCUACUUUUAGGUGGACUACCAAGGGGCUAGUGACUGGUUGGCUACUUUUAGGAGGACUACCAAGGGGCUAGUGACUGGUUGGCUACUUUUAGGUGGACUACCAAGGGGCUAGUGACUGGUUGGCUACUUUUAGGAGGACUACCAAGGGGCUAGUGACUGGUUGGCUACUUUUAGGAGGGCUAGUGACUGGUUGGCUACUUUUAGGGGGACUAGUGACUGGUUGGCUACUUUUAGGAGGGCUAGUGACUGGUUGGCUACUUUUAGGGGGACUAGUGACUGGUUGGCUACUUUUAGGGGGACUAGUGACUGGUUGGCUACUUUUAGGGGACUAGUGACUGGUUGGCUACUUUUAGGUGGACUAGUGACUGGUUGGCUACUUUUAGGAGGACUAGUGACUGGUUGGCUUCUUUUAGGUGGACUAGUGACUGGUUGGAUACUUUUAGGAGGACUAGUGACUGGUUGGCUACUUUUAGGUGGACUACCAAGGGACUAGUGACUGGCUUCUUCAAGGCUGUUACUUCCAUGUCUUAACUCCUACUAUUCUGUAGAUUGACUGCUCUUCUCUGAG
This 605-nucleotide long non-coding RNA is filed under the name Salmo salar (Atlantic salmon). RNAcentral's name for it is "lncRNA (ENSSSAG00000119990.1)". The record is from RNAcentral. Lineage: Eukaryota; Metazoa; Chordata; Actinopteri; Salmoniformes; Salmonidae.